UCUUAAUGGACUGAGCCAUCCAGGUGCCCCCUCACUUACUUUUAAUUUGUCUUUCUCAACUUCAUGUAUUUUUGUAAACUGCCCUCAUUUGUUUCUGGAAAAGGUGAAAUGUACAUGAAUACAUUCAAUAAAAACAAUGUCAUCCUUAAAGUAAGACCUCUCUGCUGCUGGGAGCCCUGGUCAAUGGGACGUGAGUAGUUGGUGAUCACUGCUGAUUGGACUAAGCUACUGCCAGGGCGUCUGUACCCAUGGUAAGCUGGUCAUGGACUGUAGGAAGAGCUCGAUCUGCAUAGUAAGUACUCUCCAGCCUUAUUUCAUGGUGCACUCAAAGAUCCUGACUCCAAGGUGAGUACACAAAGCUCAUUGUUUUCUUUGGGGACCUUUUGCCACACUUCCCUCUCACUGUGCUUUGAAAAUUAACCACCAGAGUCUGGUCAUUAUGGCUUCAUUAACUAUUCCUUGUAAUUGCACCAGUCAUAAUUAAUUCAUUUGUUAUUCACAUGGGUGACAUACGGACACUUUAAUAGAUUUUCCUCAGGGAAUUCCACAUAUUAAAUGAUAUUGAUGGUGCUUUUAGAAAAGAUUGAAAGGGAACUACAAUAUAAACCAUUUUGUAUAAGUAGCGAUGAGAUAUUUUAUCGUGAAAAUGAAGUUAAUUAUUUUAAUCUCUCAACCUUUUUAGAUCAAAACCCAAAGAUGUAUAAACUAGUCUUUUCUCCCCCCACCAGACAUUUCUAAUCCAUAAUUCAGAGUGCCAAAAUAAAACCAUUCUUAUAAAAAUAGAUGGUGCAUUUACACAAACGCAUGCCAGAGUAUUUAAGUAAAUAAUACUUGAAUUAAUUUCAGGUUAAAACCUUUCCUUUAAGCCUCUCUUAUUUUUUUUUUUCCAGAAACCAUCUGUAUUUUAACAUCUUACUGCACAGCUGCAUUCCUCAUGUUUAAUUUAUGGCGGAGAUCUUUUGUGACAAGACCAACUUAUUUUUCAAAUGAAAUCAAUUCAUUUUAGGUACCCAAUGAAAAAACCUACCCAAAAAACCCCUUAAGACCUACAGGAAAACUCAGGCCCAGGAUGUUUUAUGAGCUUCAGAUCUACCCCCAGGUCGGAGCACACAAGCCAGGUUAUCAGCUUGAUGACCUUCAAGUAAAGCAAACACAUUACAUCAGACCGUUAUGAAAGAGCCCACACUCAGAAGAGCUCCCAGCCUGCUGGUGAGGUGAUAAUUAACAAAUGCUUCCUGAUUCUUUCACUUGAACUUAAGAACCCUUCAUAAAAUUCUUCACAAACAGUCUUGAAGAGGGGCACUGGGUGGCUCAGUGGUCGAGCCUUCAGCUCAGGGUAUGAUCUGGGGUCCUGGGAUGAGUCCUGCAUCAGGCUCCCCACAAGGAGCCUGCUUCUCCCUCUGCCU
Canis lupus familiaris (dog) is the source of this 1406-nucleotide long non-coding RNA. RefSeq lists it as uncharacterized. Lineage: Eukaryota; Metazoa; Chordata; Mammalia; Carnivora; Canidae. The record is from RefSeq and is a predicted model, not a curated record. The transcript is spliced from 3 exons.